Molecule: ribosomal RNA, 258 nt
Filed under: uncultured bacterium
Lineage: Bacteria
Description: partial 16S ribosomal RNA
Rfam family: Bacterial small subunit ribosomal RNA
Source: RNAcentral
GUCCACACGGUAAACGAUGGAUACUCGCUGUUGGCGAUAUACUGUCAGCGGCCAAGCGAAAGCAUUAAGUAUCCCACCUGGGGAGUACGCCGGCAACGGUGAAACUCAAAGGAAUUGACGGGGGCCCGCACAAGCGGAGGAACAUGUGGUUUAAUUCGAUGAUACGCGAGGAACCUUACCCGGGCUUAAAUUGCAGACGAAUUACCUGGAAACAGGUAAGCCGCAAAGGCGUCUGUGAAGGUGCUGCAUGGUUGUCGU